This 28-nucleotide non-coding RNA is filed under the name Bombyx mori (domestic silkworm). Lineage: Eukaryota; Metazoa; Arthropoda; Insecta; Lepidoptera; Bombycidae. The record is from RNAcentral.
UACAAAGAUCAAAAAAAGCAGUGAGUGU